CCUACGGGGGGCAGCAGUGAGGAAUAUUGGUCAAUGGACGAGAGUCUGAACCAGCCAAGUAGCGUGAAGGAUGACUGCCCUCUGAGUUGUAAACUUCUUUUAUAUGGGAAUAAAAUGUUCCACGUGUGGGAUUUUGUAUGUACCAUAUGAAUAAGGAUCGGCUAACUCCGUGCCAGCAGCCGCGGUAAUACGGAGGAUCCGAGCGUUAUCCGGAUUUAUUGGGUUGAACGGGAGCGUAGGUGGAUUGUUAAGUCAGUUGUGAAAGUUUGCGGCUCAACCGUAAAAUUGCAGUUGAAACUGGCAGUCUUGAGUACAGUAGAGGUGAGCGGAAUUCGUGGUGUAGCGGUGAAAUGCUUAGAUAUCACGAAGAACUCCGAUUGCGAAGGCAGCUCACUGGACUGCAACUGACACUGAGGCUCGAAAGUGUGGGUAGCAAACAGGAUUAGAUACCCUGGUAGUC
RNAcentral lists this ribosomal RNA (460 nucleotides) under uncultured bacterium. RNAcentral describes it as "partial 16S ribosomal RNA". It matches the Rfam family "Bacterial small subunit ribosomal RNA", at positions 338 to 795 of the family's 1533-position model. The record is from RNAcentral.